GCCGGGAUAGCUCANUUGGUAGAGCAGAGGACUGAAAAUCCUCGUGUCACCNGUUCAAAUA
RNAcentral lists this transfer RNA (61 nucleotides) under Citrullus amarus. Its description in RNAcentral is "partial tRNA-Phe". It matches the Rfam family "tRNA", at positions 1 to 59 of the family's 71-position model. From Rfam's summary of the family: Transfer RNA (tRNA) molecules are approximately 80 nucleotides in length. Their secondary structure includes four short double-helical elements and three loops (D, anti-codon, and T loops). Lineage: Eukaryota; Viridiplantae; Streptophyta; Magnoliopsida; Cucurbitales; Cucurbitaceae. The record is from RNAcentral.